UACGUAGGGAGCAAGCGUUGUCCGGAAUCAUUGGGCGUAAAGCGCGCGUAGGUGGCCCAGUAAGUCUGCUCUGAAAGUCACAGGCUCAACCUGUGAAAGCGGGUGGAUACUGCUGGGCUAGAGUCCGGAAGAGGCGAGUGGAAUUCCUGGUGUAGCGGUGGAAUGCGCAGAUAUCAGGAGGAACACCGAUGGCGAAGGCAGGUCACUGGGCCGCAACUGACGCUGAGGAGCGAAAGCAUGGGGAGCGAACAGG
This 253-nucleotide ribosomal RNA is filed under the name uncultured bacterium. Its description in RNAcentral is "partial 16S ribosomal RNA". It matches the Rfam family "Bacterial small subunit ribosomal RNA", at positions 524 to 776 of the family's 1533-position model. The record is from RNAcentral.